RNAcentral lists this ribosomal RNA (331 nucleotides) under uncultured eukaryote. RNAcentral describes it as "partial 18S ribosomal RNA". It matches the Rfam family "Eukaryotic small subunit ribosomal RNA", at positions 1470 to 1796 of the family's 1831-position model. The record is from RNAcentral.
CCCUUAGAUGUUCUGGGCUGCACGCGCGCUACACUGAUGCGUUCAGCGAGUUUUGGUCCUUGCCCGGAAGGGCUGGGUAAUCUUCUCAAAACGCAUCGUGAUGGGGAUAGACUAUUGCAAUUAUUAGUCUUCAACGAGGAAUUCCUAGUAAGUGCGAGUCAUCAGCUCGCGCUGAUUACGUCCCUGCCCUUUGUACACACCGCCCGUCGCUACUACCGAUUGAAUGAUUUAGUGAGGACUUCGGACUGGGACCGAUGCGGCUUUCGGGCUGCGUCGGUAUUCUGGAAAGAUGUCCAAACUGUAUCAUUUAGAGGAAGUAAAAGUCGUAACA